RNAcentral lists this ribosomal RNA (508 nucleotides) under uncultured fungus. RNAcentral describes it as "SSU rRNA". It matches the Rfam family "Eukaryotic small subunit ribosomal RNA", at positions 569 to 1078 of the family's 1831-position model. Lineage: Eukaryota; Fungi. The record is from RNAcentral.
AGCAGCCGCGGUAAUUCCAGCUCCAAUAGCGUAUAUUAAAGUUGUUGCAGUUAAAAAGCUCGUAGUUGAAUUUCGGGAUCAAUUUAUCGGUCGUGCCUAUGGUAUGAACUGGUACAAUUGGUUUCUCCCUUCUGACGAAGCAUGAUGUCAUUAAUUUGGUGUCGUGGGGAAUCAGGACUGUUACUUUGAAAAAAUUAGAGUGUUUAAAGCAAGCAUUAGCUUGAAUACAUUAGCAUGGAAUAAUGAAAUAGGACGUUUGAUCCUAUUUCGUUGGUUUCUAGGAUCGACGUAAUGAUUAAUAGGGAUAGUUGGGGGCAUUAGUAUUCAAUUGUCAGAGGUGAAAUUCUUGGAUUUAUUGAAGACUAACUACUGCGAAAGCAUUUGCCAAGGAUGUUUUCAUUAAUCAAGAACGAAAGUUAGGGGAUCGAAAACGAUCAAAUACCGUCGUAGUCUUAACCAUAAACUAUGCCGACUAGGGAUCGGAUGAUGUUAAUUUUUUAAUGACUCA